This is a long non-coding RNA of Hyla sarda, 529 nucleotides long. RefSeq lists it as uncharacterized. The record is from RefSeq and is a predicted model, not a curated record. NCBI's taxonomy places the organism in Eukaryota, Metazoa, Chordata, Amphibia, Anura, Hylidae. The transcript has 2 exons.
AUAGAUUAUCUUGAGAGUAAUGUGACUGGGGUAGAGUCUUUUCUGCACAAUUCUGUCGUCUCGGGCUCUUUUCCUAGAAUUGAAGACUAGGAACCAGGCGACCAGGGAGAAAUUCCAGUGAAGGGAUUUCCCACUGAAACAAACAAUCUCUCCUCUUAGCAGACUCUAUUGUCCUUGGCUCGACCAACACACGGAAACUUCUCUCUUCAGUGCUAAGGACUUGGCGGUUGUGAAGUCCAUCAUGUGACGGGGCCCCACAAAGAGGGACACAGUUUCCAGCUGACUACUCAAGGUUUUCACAUCUCUUCCCCAGCAAUAGCAGGUGCUAUAUUGUGCCAAGGUGCCAGGUAGUGAUGACAGUGGUUCUCCGUUGGGUUUCCCAGACAACUCUCGAUACUCAAAGCGGCCAAUGUUCACAGCACAAAACCAGCAGCGGUUCCCAGGGAAGACUAGACGUUUCCUGAUCGCAGUCCAAAGGCCUAUUGUGCACAGCUCUGACCUACUUGAGAUUAAAAAAAAGAAGAAAUUU